This 467-nucleotide ribosomal RNA is filed under the name uncultured bacterium. RNAcentral describes it as "partial 16S ribosomal RNA". It matches the Rfam family "Bacterial small subunit ribosomal RNA", at positions 28 to 506 of the family's 1533-position model. The record is from RNAcentral.
GACGAACGCUGGCGGCGUGCUUAACACAUGCAAGUCGAACGGAAAGGCCCUGCUUUUGUGGGGUGCUCGAGUGGCGAACGGGUGAGUAACACGUGAGUAACCUGCCCUUGACUUUGGGAUAACUUCAGGAAACUGGGGCUAAUACCGGAUAGGAGCUCCUGCUGCAUGGUGGGGGUUGGAAAGUUUCGGCGGUUGGGGAUGGACUCGCGGCUUAUCAGCUUGUUGGUGGGGUAGUGGCUUACCAAGGCUUUGACGGGUAGCCGGCCUGAGAGGGUGACCGGCCACAUUGGGACGGGGGUACGGCCCAGACCCCCACGGGAGGCAGGGGGGGGGAAUUUUGCACAAUGGGGGGAGGCCUGAUGCAGCAACGCCGGGGGGGGGAUGGGGGCCUUCGGGUGGUAAACCGCUUUCGCCUGGGACGAAGGGGGGGUGACGGUAAUGGGGAAAGAAGCACCGGCUAACUACGU